Molecule: ribosomal RNA, 261 nt
Filed under: uncultured bacterium
Lineage: Bacteria
Description: partial small subunit ribosomal RNA
Rfam family: Bacterial small subunit ribosomal RNA
Source: RNAcentral
AGGAUGAACGCUGGCGGCGUGCUUAACACAUGCAAGUCGAACGGUGAAAGAGGAGCUUGCUCCUCUGGAUCAGUGGCGAACGGGUGAGUAACACGUGAGUAACCUGCCCCAGACUCUGGGAUAAGCACUGGAAACGGUGUCUAAUACCGGAUACGAGCUUCAGCCGCAUGGCUAGGAGCUGGAAAGAAUUUCGGUCUGGGAUGGACUCGCGGCCUAUCAGCUAGUUGGUGAGGUAAUGGCUCACCAAGGCGACGACGGGUA